GGGGUGGACUAAGGGUAGGAGGCCUGAAGAAUGGCUUCUCUGUUUAUAACACAUCCAACAGAAAUCUGGGUUUACUCAUCACAGGUGGCAGAAUAUAUUGGCCUUCCUAUGACAUCAUGCCCUAUAUAG
This is a small nucleolar RNA of Sciurus carolinensis (gray squirrel), 129 nucleotides long. RefSeq annotates it as small nucleolar RNA SNORA11. The record is from RefSeq and is a predicted model, not a curated record. NCBI's taxonomy places the organism in Eukaryota, Metazoa, Chordata, Mammalia, Rodentia, Sciuridae. The transcript has a single exon.